Molecule: ribosomal RNA, 253 nt
Filed under: uncultured bacterium
Lineage: Bacteria
Description: partial 16S ribosomal RNA
Rfam family: Bacterial small subunit ribosomal RNA
Source: RNAcentral
UACGAAGGGGGCUAGCGUUGCUCGGAAUCACUGGGCGUAAAGGGCGCGUAGGCGGGCGGGCAAGUCAGGGGUGAAAUCCCACGGCUCAACCGUGGAAGUGCCUUUGAUACUGCCGGUCUGGAGGGAGGUAGGGGCGUGCGGAACUUCCGGUGGAGCGGUGAAAUGCGUAGAUAUCAUGAGGAAUACCAGAGGCGAAGGCGGCUACCUGGACAAUUGCUGACGCUCAGGCACGAAAGCGUGGGGAGCAAAAGGG